GCCUUUGUGGUGUAGUGGUCAGCACGCUCGACGCAUAACCGAGAGGUCCGUGGUUCGAUUCCCGGCGAAGGCA
Molecule: transfer RNA, 73 nt
Filed under: Stegodyphus mimosarum
Lineage: Eukaryota; Metazoa; Arthropoda; Arachnida; Araneae; Eresidae
Rfam family: tRNA
About the family: Transfer RNA (tRNA) molecules are approximately 80 nucleotides in length. Their secondary structure includes four short double-helical elements and three loops (D, anti-codon, and T loops).
Source: Rfam by way of RNAcentral